Molecule: non-coding RNA, 71 nt
Organism: Candidatus Kaiserbacteria bacterium
Lineage: Bacteria; Candidatus Kaiseribacteriota
Source: Rfam
GCGGAUAUGGUUUAGUGGUAGAACGGCGCCUUGCCAAGGCGCAGACAGGAGUCCGAUUCUCCUUAUCCGCA